Molecule: long non-coding RNA, 712 nt
Filed under: Homo sapiens (human)
Lineage: Eukaryota; Metazoa; Chordata; Mammalia; Primates; Hominidae
Description: HSALNT0186159
Source: RNAcentral
UGGUAGAAAGUGGCAGGCUGGAGUUAUGCGGCUCACUUUCUAGCCAGAAGGAGGGAGACUGAAUGGAGGCACAUUGAAGAUGCCUGCUUCCUCUUCCACCGUGAUUGGACGUUUCCUGAGGCCUCCUCAGCCAUGUGAAACUGUGAGUUAAUUAAACCUCCUUUGUUUAUAUAUUACCCAAUCUCAGGUGGUAUUCUUUAUAGCAGUGUGAAAACAGACUAAUAUAGGUGGUAUGCCCUAGACAAAUUCCACCUUCAUAAGGGACAGUAGACAAUGUGAGUAGCUGGAGGAAACCCACCUAUCCUUCUUUUUACACAAUCUUUGCUUAACUUUUGAUGAUACAGGAUUGACCAGCAAUUACAGGUUGCUUUUCAGUUUACACUUUUGUUUGCAUUAUCUUGUUGAUUGCCAAUAUCACAAAAUGGUUUUAUUGUGAAUAUUUUCCUUUGAUAGGUGAGGAAACACAGACUCAGAGAGGUUGAAAAGUGUUAGAAUCCGCAUAAGCUUUCUGACUCUAGGAAUGUGUUUUGGAACAUGUGCUUGGGACAUUAAGAAGUAUAAUUGAUUAAAUGACUAUAUGUGGAACUUACCAGAAUAUAAGCUGGAGAGACAAAAACAACUCCUCACCUCCGCAGAAGGCUGCCUCUAUUGCACACAAAUGAGAAAAUAUAGGUUUCCAUGAAAUCACAAAAAUAACAAGGUUAGAUGCAAU